GUAAAUGUAAAUACAUCAGUUAAUGAUAUUUCUGACUCAAGAGAAUGAUCCCAUCAGUUGUUAUCUCAAGUCAGACAAAGCCCUGUAAAGAGCCUAAAAUUCAACUGAAUAUAAUUUUAAGUACCUUUAAGCAUUGCAUGGUCCUAAAAAUAUAAAAGAAUGCACGAAUUCAUCAAGUUCCAAGAUCUUUAAAAUGACAUUUCUGGGGCCGGCUCCGUGGCUGAGUGGUUAAGUUCGCGUGCUCCGCUGCGGCAGCCCAGGGUUCGGAUCCUGGGCACGGACAUGGCACCACUCAUCAGGCCACGUUGAGGCGGCAUCCCACAUCCCACAACUGGAAGGACCUGCAACUAAGAUAUACAACUGUGUACGGGCGGGUUUGGGGAGAUAAAGUAGAAAAAAAAAAAAGAUUGGCAAUGGUUGUUAGCCCAGGGGCCAAUCCUUAAAAAGAAAAGAAAAAAGGAAGAUUGGCAACAGUUGUUAGCCCAGGUGCCAAUCUUUAAAAAAAAAAACGACAUUUCUUAGGAUCCCAUCAACUUCAAAGGUGUAGAGAGUGAGAAGGAGAAUAUGUUUAUGGUCUUAGGGACUUACUCACCUGAGUGGAAGCUGCAGGCUCCUACCGGUAGAUAAAAGGAACAGGUCAUGUGUUUAAUUUGAGUCCAGUUGAGGAGGUGAUCCCUCCCCUCUUGAACUUAAGGGACCAUUGACAAAACAACUGUAAAUAGACUAAGCGCCCCACCUUGGAGACACAAAUGAGAAUCCAGGCAGCUUCCCAUGUAAAUCUCUCUUAGUAGAUAUUAUCAGUUGCAACAAAACAGGCUGCAAGUGGCCUGAGACCCUUCCAGUUAUGAUGAUGAACAUGUGGGCACAUUUCAAAGGACUCUAGAGCUAAUCCCAGGAGGUUUCAGUUCUCUUUCAGCUGUUGCUUCCAACACCUGGAGGGCACUUGCUGUCAUCACCGAUGAUCACUUCUAUUCCAAGUCCUUUCUGUGCAAAAGGGUGGGCUGCCAGGCCAACAUUGCACUCUCACCAACUAGCCAUACUGGACAGGAGACUGUGGCUACAAAGAUUCUGGAGGAAGACCACCUCGGCCCCAGUGAAAAAAAAAGAUGGGGCUGACUUCUGCAAAUUUUGGAUACCGUGAUGACCUCAGAAAACCUAGAGGACCUUCCACAACCUUGUGGCAGCUUCAGACUAAGAGGUUAUUUUCACGCAUAGAUUUCGUGUGUGUUUUACAUCCUAGUAAUGUUACUCCACCGGUUCUUAAAUUUAAAUUGGCAGUGAAACAAGGAGGGAGAGGAGGAGGUAUGCUGGGAUCCUCAAGGCGCUGCUGGCU
Molecule: long non-coding RNA, 1333 nt
Filed under: Equus caballus (horse)
Lineage: Eukaryota; Metazoa; Chordata; Mammalia; Perissodactyla; Equidae
Description: lncRNA (ENSECAG00000059166.1)
Source: RNAcentral